GCCAGGAAAAGGAAUCAUGGGAGGGCUUAAGAGUGAUGGGCAUGGGAACAAACAGAAAAGCAUAAGCUCUCCAGUUCCAUGUUUGGAAGUGGAGGUUAAGAUAAUGUUUUGAGUUUUCCUAAUAGUUCCAUGUUUGGAAGUGGAGGUUAAGAUAAUGUUUUAAGUUUUCCUAAUGCCUCCCAUGCCUACUGUUCUUUGGUGCUCCUUACUCUUCCUUUUGGUU
RNAcentral lists this microRNA precursor (223 nucleotides) under Setaria italica (foxtail millet). Its description in RNAcentral is "MIR2118 microRNA precursor family". It matches the Rfam family "MIR2118 microRNA precursor family". The record is from Rfam by way of RNAcentral. Lineage: Eukaryota; Viridiplantae; Streptophyta; Magnoliopsida; Poales; Poaceae.